AUUGAACGCUGGCGGCAUGCCUUACACAUGCAAGUCGAACGGCAGCGCGGACUUCGGUCUGGCGGCGAGUGGCGAACGGGUGAGUAAUACAUCGGAACGUACCCUGUUGUGGGGGAUAACUAGUCGAAAGAUUAGCUAAUACCGCAUACGACCUGAGGGUGAAAGUGGGGGACCGCCAGGCCUCACGCAGCAGGAGCGGCCGAUGUUUGAUUAGCGAGUUGGGGGGGUAAAGGCCCACCAAGGCGACGAUCAGUCGCUGGUCUGAGAGGACGAUCAGCCGUACUGGUACGGAGGCACGGCCCAGACGCCUACGGGAGGCAGCAGUGGGGAAUUUUGGACAAUGGGGGCAACGCUGGUCCAGCAAUGCCGCGUGGGUGAAGAAGGCCUUCGGGUUGUAAGGCACUUUUGUCCGGAAAGAAAUCGCGCUGGUUAAUACCUGGCGUGGAUGACGGUACCGGAAGAAUAAGCACCGGCUAACUACGUGCCAGCCGCCGCGGUAA
Molecule: ribosomal RNA, 500 nt
Filed under: uncultured bacterium
Lineage: Bacteria
Description: partial 16S ribosomal RNA
Rfam family: Bacterial small subunit ribosomal RNA
Source: RNAcentral